This 382-nucleotide ribosomal RNA is filed under the name Escherichia coli. RNAcentral's name for it is "bacterial SSU rRNA". It matches the Rfam family "Bacterial small subunit ribosomal RNA", at positions 1164 to 1533 of the family's 1533-position model. The record is from RNAcentral. Lineage: Bacteria; Pseudomonadati; Pseudomonadota; Gammaproteobacteria; Enterobacterales; Enterobacteriaceae.
UGGAGGAAGGUGGGGAUGACGUCAAGUCAUCAUGGCCCUUACGACCAGGGCUACACACGUGCUACAAUGGCGCAUACAAAGAGAAGCGACCUCGCGAGAGCAAGCGGACCUCAUAAAGUGCGUCGUAGUCCGGAUUGGAGUCUGCAACUCGACUCCAUGAAGUCGGAAUCGCUAGUAAUCGUGGAUCAGAAUGCCACGGUGAAUACGUUCCCGGGCCUUGUACACACCGCCCGUCACACCAUGGGAGUGGGUUGCAAAAGAAGUAGGUAGCUUAACCUUCGGGAGGGCGCUUACCACUUUGUGAUUCAUGACUGGGGUGAAGUCGUAACAAGGUAACCGUAGGGGAACCUGCGGUUGGAUCACCUCCUUACCUUAAAGAAGC